AGAGUUUGAUCAUGGCUCAGAAUGAACGCUGGCGGCGUGCUUAACACAUGCAAGUCGUACGAGAACUCUUUAGCUUGCUAAAGAUAGUAAAGUGGCGCACGGGUGAGUAACGUGUGGGCAAUCUACCUCCGAAUCGGGGAUAACCCGCCGAAAGGCGAGCUAAUACCGGAUAAUAUCUUUAAAACUUCGGUUUUAAAGAUCAAAGGUGGUCUCUACAUGUAAGCUACUGCUUGGAGAUGAGCCCGCGUACCAUUAGCUUGUUGGUAGGGUAAUGGCCUACCAAGGCUUCGAUGGUUAGCUGGUCUGAGAGGAUGAUCAGCCACACUGGAACUGACACACGGUCCAGACUCCUUACGGGAGGCAGC
RNAcentral lists this ribosomal RNA (365 nucleotides) under uncultured bacterium. Its description in RNAcentral is "bacterial SSU rRNA". It matches the Rfam family "Bacterial small subunit ribosomal RNA", at positions 8 to 352 of the family's 1533-position model. The record is from RNAcentral.